Long non-coding RNA from Aquila chrysaetos chrysaetos, 3836 nucleotides. RefSeq lists it as uncharacterized. The record is from RefSeq and is a predicted model, not a curated record. Lineage: Eukaryota; Metazoa; Chordata; Aves; Accipitriformes; Accipitridae. The transcript is spliced from 4 exons.
AGUGGAAGGAUCAUAAACUGAUCCCCUAGUCAAUCAGUCUGGCUGCCCUCAAGCAUGGUAUUUGUAUCAUCAGAAAAAUUCUGACUCCCAAACAGCAGUGUUUUCUGUAAUGCUGUCUCUCAAAGGCAACCCAAGUUGCCUUUUGAUUACAAGCCUGCCGUGGCUUCUGACAAACAUACUUUAACAUUAAUAUUUGCAGCUGAACUACAUUCUGGUCUGAUGAACACUUCCAGGUUUUCAAAACUGCUGUGGGAAGAAUCAGAAAGUAAACAUGAGGACUGCUGUCCACAAACCCACAUGCGUCUAGCUAAGUGAUAAUUUUCAAUAUGAACAGUAAGUAAUACAGAGUCUUUGGGUUCCAGAUAGUCGGGAGUAUAAAUAUGCAUGCUUUCCCUGGUUGUUUUUAAAAACACCUACUAAAUUAGCAUUUAUUUUUAAAAGUUUGGCCCUUUAUUUAAUUAUUUUCUUGUCCGUAUCCAAAGACAGAACAUAAAGUUUGCUGCACAAAGUACACAUGGAAAUAUUCUAUUACAGUUUUGAAAAUAGGAUUUAGUCUUUUAACCUGCUUGGGUAUUAUACAGAGUGAUCCAAAUCAGAUGUGACUUGUAUGGAAUUAUGUUGAACUUUUUGCUUUGUCUGAAAUUCAUAUCAUGCGGCAAUAAUGGUGCUUUUUCAAUUGCCUGUAUUUUAAGGAUGCUGAUAAAGCACUGGAGCAAUGCCAGGUAUUUUAGGAAAUACAUUGCAGUUUCCCUGGCUCCCCAGAUGUUACAAUACAUUGUUUGUUGCUGGAAUAAAGGGAUUUCCAUGGCAUGGCCCCAGGAUUCUGCAAGCAGCCAGCACUGCUGCAAUUAUUGAUCUCUGCUGGACAGCCAAGGAAUGAAAUCACAGGAAAAUGGAGCUGUCUCUUGGGAUGGUUACCUCUAAGUUCUGCAUUGACAGAAUACACCAGAAGGUCAUUUAAAAAGUUGGAGAAGCUGUGAAGUCUCUGUUUGUGAAAAUCAGUUGUACCCUAAAUCCUACCAGACAGAACCGAAAAAAGCAUUUCAUGCUUGCUUUCACGGCUGCCAGUUCAUGGCAGCAUUGCCUCAACACUGCUAUUUAAGCCAGUUCCAGCCUUCUUUAGGAUCCUUUCAUCAGCUUACCUAAACUGCCCAGGCUAAUCGAGUGUCUGUUAAACCCUCUGAAGGUGCUAGGAAAUCCACUCUGCUCUGCUGUUGAAUUUCAUCCCGGUUAUCUGCGUGCAGAAGCUUGCUUUUCCAUGUAAUUGGCUGAACUGAGCAGUGAAGCUCAUUUCUCUCCAAGCAUGGGAAAUGUAGAUAAUGAAUUACCUGUUGUGUGGUAUAUUUCAUGAUCCUGAUAGCCUUUAAAAUAUUUUUCUGGUUCCAUUCUUUCCUACAGUGUUACAAGUCUGCUUGACGAAGUUAUUGGCAGUCUUGUGUUCUCUAUAUGCCACUGUUGUGAAAGAUGCAUCUGUUUUUCCAUUAUUGUCUGAAGUGAGCUUUGUAUGUAACAGCUCUCUAGUCCAUUGUAGUGCUUAUCAGUACCAUGUUGGCCCACAGCAUUAUAACUACAGCUGAACAGUGAGCAGAAAAAAAUCCUAUCAAUCCAAUUAGAAACGCUGUCAUUAAAACAACAGAAAAUUAUAACAUUAUAAAAAAAAGACUUGAACAACAAGAACCCAUUUGAAUCUAAGUAAUUCUGUAGAUCCUAAGGUAAGAUAGUUCCAGCAUUAUAUUCUAGAAAAAAUGUUGAGGCUUUUUCUCAGCAAUACUGGUACGCUUCAAGCUGAGUUUCAGUUUCUUAUUGGCAUUUUAUGAGACUAUUCAGUGUUUCCAGCCCUCACCAGGAAUAUUUCAUAAAGAUUUUCCCAUGAGAUGUCAUUUUUCACUUUCACUGGACAAAGACAAGCCUGAUAACCUGCUACAUUGCAUAAGCAUAUUGCUCCAGUUCAUUGAAUAUUUGGCAUUAAAUUUUGAUUUGUUCCUGAGUAAAAUCCAUGAAGCUGUUACAUAUGUAUAAUGCUUUCUAUGAUGUCUAUGUUCUGUAUAACCCUGAAACCUUCUAUUUCUUUGUGUCUUACCUGGAUUCAGGUGUCAGCUCAUCUGACUGUUGUAAGAAGUAUACAAGUGACCCACAGAAGAGAAUCUAGAAUCUGCUUAUCCUGUUGAUCUGAAUUUGUACUGACUUUGUAGAUACAUAGGGAAUACUGAAAAACCUUUUCACCCUCAAAAGUCACCCUGUUCCCCAGGCUCUGUUGACUGUAGGCACUUAAAUCAGUGAUGUUCAUUUAAGUCAAAACUUUCAAAUCUUUUCCUAAGGGAAGGGCAAUGAUAAGCAAGAAUUAAUUUUAUUAUCCAGUGAAGUUACCUUCAGUAUUCAGUCAAUGCAAUCAAAGCCAGCGAUCUGCUCUUCUUUGUGACCCGCUCCUUUUUUAUAAUAGAACUUGCUCUAUGCCAGAAUGUGCUCCCUUAUUAGUGAUGGUUAUAGAAACUAAACUUCCACUAUAAAAUAGUAAUUGUUUUUUAUGCUUCACAAGUAGAAUAAAAUCUAGGCAAAACAUUUCUGAUGGAUGUUUAGAAUUACUAACUGCUAAUAAGUGAAUUAGAUGUAUUUUGGGAAAGGUGUUGAGUGUUUUUUAUCAUUCAAGGUAAAAUCAGUACUAAACAAUCUCUCAUACACUAGCAGCAAUGUAAUCAAACAAGCUGAUUGGGUAGGAAAUAAGGAAUGAAGCUAAUCAGAAAUGUAUAUUAUUUACUGGUGAAUGUUUAUAGACAAACUCUUAUAUGUGCUUGAGAGAAUGGAAUAAAAUGUUUCCUACAUGAUGGCAUUUAAGCUUUAAAGGAGAUGAGCAGUUUCAGAAAGGACGUUAGUCAUUACUAGUAGGUUGCUUGAACACAGAAAAUGCAAGAAAGGCUUAAUUCCCCUUUUCAUUAUCCCCUAUUCAUUUUAUCUCUUUUCUCCCAACCUUAUACAUAUUCAUGUCUGCCUAGAGGGUCCCUUUACACAGCUGAGCAUGGGAAUUGCUGUUUGUGAAAGUUAGACUCUACCUUCAUGUUACAAUGUGUGACAGAGAAAAUGGACUGGAGCAGCUCAUCUACUCCUGGGCACCAAAUUGUUGCAGAGGAAAAUAUUUCUUUAAUUGAUUAAAAUGCUAGACUGCGUUUUCCAUAAAUAGAAUCUGAAUCUUAUUGGCCUUGGACACCAUGCUUUAUCUGAAGUAUGUUUCAUGCUGGAAGCUGGGUUUUGCAUCAUGGGGUUUUAAAAUGUGGAAGCAUGCAGGGAAAAGAAAUUUAAAAAGCAUGCAGGAAAAGAAAUUUAACAUCAUGUAGACAAAAUAAUGAAAAUAUGUUUUCAGAUUUGAAAUAGACAUAAAGUAGAUACUGCAUGGAAUUGGGUGUUUUUCCAUUGUAAACAUGGAAAGGCAUGUAAAGCCAAAUGCAGUUAGAUCCCUGUACAGUCCCAUACUUCCGACUGAGAGAUUUUUUUUGCUGACUUCAGUGGCAGUGGAAUUAGGGACAGCAUAACCUUCUUGGAUUUUGCAUGGCAAAUGUCAGCUUCUCAUCACAGGACCAUGUAAUAUGCUAGAAAGACUGAAUUUUUUAGUUCGUACUUUUAGAUUUUUACAGUUCAUACUGCUGUGACACAAGGUACUUGAGAUAUUUUGCAUAAAGUCCCAAAGUACCUGAAGGGCCCUGCCACUCCUGUGCUCUUGCUGCCAAGCAGCACUCAGCCAUCUGUUCUUUCAUUUGUUCAUUUAAAGGAGCAUGGACACUUCUCAUAAAGCUAUGCAGAAAUUUGCCUUUGCUGAUGAGGUAGAAUACAAGCUACUAUAUGAU